This 475-nucleotide ribosomal RNA is filed under the name uncultured bacterium. RNAcentral's name for it is "bacterial SSU rRNA". It matches the Rfam family "Bacterial small subunit ribosomal RNA", at positions 329 to 793 of the family's 1533-position model. The record is from RNAcentral.
GACAGUACUCCUACGGGGAGGCAGCAGUGGGGGAAUAUUGCACAAUGAGCGCAAGCCUGAUGCAGCCAUGCCGCGUGUGUGAAGAAGGCCUUCGGGUUGUAAAGCACUUUCAGUCGUGAGGAAGGUAGUGUAGUUAAUAGCUGCAUUAUUUGACGUUAGCGACAGAAGAAGCACCGGCUAACUCCGUGCCAGCAGCCGCGGUAAUACGGAGGGUGCGAGCGUUAAUCGGAAUUACUGGGCGUAAAGCGCAUGCAGGUGGUUUGUUAAGUCAGAUGUGAAAGCCCGGGGCUCAACCUCGGAAUAGCAUUUGAAACUGGCAGACUAGAGUACUGUAGAGGGGGGUAGGAAUUUCAGGUGUAGCGGUGAAAUGCGUAGAGAUCUGAAGGAAUACCGGUGGCGAAGGCGGCCCCCUGGACAGAUACUGACACUCAGAUGCGAAAGCGUGGGGAGCAAACAGGAUUAGAUACCCUGGUAG